Molecule: RNA transcript, 2980 nt
Organism: Macadamia integrifolia
Lineage: Eukaryota; Viridiplantae; Streptophyta; Magnoliopsida; Proteales; Proteaceae
Gene name: CDPK-related kinase 3-like
Exons: 12
Source: RefSeq, a predicted model, not a curated record
GCCCAUAAAGAAAGAGACAGAAGCAAAGGGGAGGAGGGGCUGAGGAGCAAUAUCUGCUUAGAACCCGAAACUCCCGUGCUUUCUCUCUCUCUCUCUACAUAGAGAUUCUCAAAUCUCAAUCCCCGAACAGAUUCAUGGUUUUUAUACCCCAGAGAUCUUUUGUCUCUCUCUCUAUCUCUCUCGCUUUCUAUGUUUCUGCACUUUGUAUGCUUCUGUGGUCUCAUUCUUUCUCGCUCUUCGCUGACACUUACUUCCUCUCACCUUCUCUUCUGGUUUUUCUUCAGUAACCUCGCUGCUGCUGCUGUUUGUUUCUCUGUCUGACUCAAUUUCAUUUAUUCUAUCACCAUUUUUAACGUUUUCUUGCUCUAGAUCUCUUUCUCUUUGUCUCUGCCAAAAUCCGGAUUCCGAAAUCCUCAGAUCCGUACAGAGAGAGAGAGAGAGAGAGAGAGAGAGAGAGAGAGAGAGAGAGAGAGCUUCCCAUGUUAGGACUUUGACCGAUCUUUCGAUCUCGAAAGUCGUAGCAAAGCGAUGGGGAUGUGCUACGGCAAGAACAUUUCCGUCGUCGUCGAAGACGACACUAUCGUCCGCACCGGCGAUCGUACUCAGACGCCGUCUACUUCUACUCCCGGUAAUGGUGCCUUCACUGGGCGUUCAGUGAAGAACACCCCAGCUCACUCUUCUUCCAACAGCCCUUGGCGGAGUCCUUUCCCUCACGGUUCUGGUACUAGUCCUCUUCCACCUGGAAUCGCUCCGUCUCCAGUGAGGUCCACUCCCCGUCGAUUUUUCCGCCGACCUUUCCCUCCUCCCUCACCGGCGAAGCACAUCAAGGCUUCCCUAGCCAAACGUCUUGGACCCGCAAAGCCCAAGGAAGGUCCGAUCCCUGAGGAUGGCGCGGAGGUUGAGCGCCCGCUUGAUAAGAACUUUGGAUAUUCCAAGAAUUUCACUGCGAAAUACGAAUUGGGGAAGGAGGUUGGCCGCGGGCAUUUCGGUCAUACGUGCUCCGCCAAAGGCAAGAAAGGAGAGCUUAAAGGUCAACUUGUUGCCGUCAAGAUCAUCUCCAAAGCUAAGAUGACUACAGCAAUAUCAAUUGAAGAUGUUCGUAGAGAAGUCAAAAUUUUAAAAGCUUUAUCUGGGCACCCGAAUUUGGUAAAAUUUUACGAUGCGUGCGAGGAUGCCAAUAAUGUCUACAUUGUCAUGGAAUUGUGUGAAGGUGGAGAACUGCUGGACAGAAUUUUAUCCAGAGGUGGAAAAUACACAGAGGAAGAUGCAAAAGUUAUUGUUGUCCAAAUUUUAAGUGUAGUUGCCUAUUGUCAUCUUCAAGGUGUUGUACACCGUGAUUUGAAACCAGAGAAUUUUCUUUUUACAACUAGAGAUGAAGAUGCUCCGAUGAAGCUUAUUGACUUCGGUCUUUCUGACUUUAUUAGACCAGAUGAAAGACUGAAUGAUAUUGUUGGCAGUGCAUACUAUGUUGCACCUGAAGUCCUCCAUCGAUCAUACUGUAUGGAAGCAGAUAUAUGGAGUAUUGGUGUCAUAACAUUUAUCUUGUUAUGUGGAAGUAGACCUUUCUGGGCACGCACAGAGUCAGGGAUUUUCCGUGCUGUUUUAAGAGCUGAUCCAAACUUUGAUGAUUCACCUUGGCCUGUGAUAUCGCCAGAAGCCAAAGAUUUUGUUAAAAGGCUGCUGAACAAGGACCACAGGAAAAGAAUGACCGCAGCACAAGCUCUGACUCACCCAUGGUUGCGAGGCAAAACCUGUUCUGUGCCUCUUGAUACAUUGAUCUAUAAGCUAGUCAAGUCAUACCUUCGUGCCACUCCUUUCAAACGGGCAGCAUUAAAGGCUUUAUCAAAAGCGCUAACUGAGGAUGAACUCAUGUACCUUAGGGCUCAGUAUAGGCUGUUGGAACCACAUAAAGAUGCGCGUGUUUCUCUUGAGAACUUAAAAAUGGCUCUCAUGCGAAAUGCAACUGAUGCCAUGAAGGAGGCAAGGGUUCCUGAAUUUUUACACACUAUAGAACAACUUUCUCAUGGAAAAAUGGACUUUGAAGAGUUCUGCGCUGCAGCAAUCAGCACGUAUCAACUGGAGGCUCUUGAAAAGUGGGAGCAGAUUGCGAGCAAGGCUUUUGAAUAUUUUGAACUGGAAGGGAAUCGAGUUGUAUCAGUGGAGGAAUUGGCACGGGAAAUGAAUCUGGCCCCUACUGCUUACUCGAUACUUAACGACUGGAUGAGGAGCUCAGAUCGAAAGCUCAGUUUUCUUGGGUACACCAAAUUUUUGCAUGGUGUGACAAUCCGCAGCUCAAAUACGAGACAUCAGUAAUUUGUGUAGCUCUGGUGGCAUAUAAUUAUUUCAAAGGUCAUGUGAUGGAAAGCUGGAACCAACCCAUCAGCCUGUUCAAAACAAGAGGAAACCUGGUGGAAAUCUGGAUUUAUGUUGAGAUGGGAAUGGAGCACUUGAUAGACUGUAAAAAGUGUUGGCAAUGUGAUAGGCCUUUCUCUGCCUGUUCCAAUUUCUUCCCAGCUUGAAUCGGCUAGGAUCGUCGGAAACUUGGAGAAAGGGCUGAAGUAUACUGUUUUGAAUCGGCCUUACCAAUUCUUGAACAGUGCUCUGGAGCAUGUCAUGUUGCUAUAUUCACAUGGAAGCAGGGUUUAAAAACCUGAAAUUGGGUCCGGAUCAGUCUAGGAAUUGAUAUAUUUCAGGCAUCUGGGGUUUUCCUGAGCCGGACUGUAGAAAAUCAGGGUCGGCCUUAGGGUGUGCAAUCUUGUGCUAGCAUCUGGAGAACUCCUUUCAACAGAGGAAAAUUUAUAGGGGAGCAACCGGGCUGGCAUGGGAUUUCCGCCCUGGUUACCAGCUAAGCCUAUGCCUGAUCCCAUUUUUAUUUAUUUAUUAUUUUAUGUCAUUUUGAUAUUGCGUCACAACUUGCUACAAUAGCAAUCUUGGGCGGACCCAUAUAAUUAUUCAAAAACACCCGCAAGGGGAUCUUCAA